Molecule: transfer RNA, 84 nt
Filed under: Gemmatimonadaceae bacterium
Lineage: Bacteria; Pseudomonadati; Gemmatimonadota; Gemmatimonadia; Gemmatimonadales; Gemmatimonadaceae
Description: tRNA-Leu
Rfam family: tRNA
About the family: Transfer RNA (tRNA) molecules are approximately 80 nucleotides in length. Their secondary structure includes four short double-helical elements and three loops (D, anti-codon, and T loops). Further hydrogen bonds mediate the characteristic L-shaped molecular structure. tRNAs have two regions of fundamental functional importance: the anti-codon, which is responsible for specific mRNA codon recognition, and the 3' end, to which the tRNAs corresponding amino acid is attached (by aminoacyl-tRNA synthetases). tRNAs cope with the degeneracy of the genetic code in two manners: having more than one tRNA (with a specific anti-codon) for a particular amino acid; and 'wobble' base-pairing, i.e. permitting non-standard base-pairing at the 3rd anti-codon position.
Source: RNAcentral
GCCGGGAUGGCGAAACUGGCAGACGCGCGAGACUUAAAAUCUUGUGUCCGAAAGGACAUCCGGGUUCGAUCCCCGGUCCCGGCA